CCUACGGGUGGCUGCAGUGAGGAAUAUUGGUCAAUGGGCGCGAGCCUGAACCAGCCAAGUAGCGUGAAGGAUGACUGCCCUACGGGUUGUAAACUUCUUUUAUAAAGGAAUAAAGUGAGGCACGUGUGCCUUUUUGUAUGUACUUUAUGAAUAAGGAUCGGCUAACUCCGUGCCAGCAGCCGCGGUAAUACGGAGGAUCCGAGCGUUAGCCGGAUUUAUUGGGUUUAAAGGGAGCGUAGAUGGGUUGUUAAGUCAGUUGUGAAAGUGUGCGGCUCAACCGUAAAAUUGCAAUUGAUACUGGCAGGCUUGAGUACAGUUGAGGUAGGCAGAAUUCGUGGUGUAGCGGUGAAAUGCUUAGAGAUGACGAAGAACUCCGAUUGCGAAGGCAGCUUACUAAACUGCCACUGACAUUGAGGCUCGAAAGUGUGGGGAUCAAACAGGAUUAGAUACCCGUGUAGUC
RNAcentral lists this ribosomal RNA (460 nucleotides) under uncultured bacterium. Its description in RNAcentral is "partial 16S ribosomal RNA". It matches the Rfam family "Bacterial small subunit ribosomal RNA", at positions 338 to 795 of the family's 1533-position model. The record is from RNAcentral.